This 492-nucleotide long non-coding RNA is filed under the name Phasianus colchicus (ring-necked pheasant). Its description in RNAcentral is "lncRNA (ENSPCLG00000018802.1)". Lineage: Eukaryota; Metazoa; Chordata; Aves; Galliformes; Phasianidae. The record is from RNAcentral.
CCCAAAUGAGGUUCCUGCAGUCUGGCUAGGGCCAGUAUGACCAGUAUGGUCCUGAUCUGACCAUACUGACUGUGGUUCAGAUCAGACCAGCUUGAGCCAGAGGUGAUGUGGGCUAUCCUUAGACUGGUCCAUUUACACAAAGGAUACCUGGCACAUCCAAGAAAAUCAUCAUGCCCUCUACUCAGCAUAACAAACCCAGUAGGAAACACCUGGGAGACAACAGUGCUGGCACAUCUUUUGUUGUGGAGCAUCAGUCUCUGGGCUGAGCAUGGGAGCAAGGCUGAGAAGGGGAUUUGGAGCACAGGAGGAAGCUUUGGAAUCAACCUGGCACUGGGAAUGGACACUUGGCUCUCCCAGCAGUAUGGAGGUGGUCACUUCUACUCCUGUGUGCUUACUUUGGUGUCUGAUGUGGAAGCAAGUUAUAGGAAGAUGUUGACCGGAUUAUCAGCGUAUAUCCAGCUAAGUGCUGGACUCUUCAAGAUUCUCUUAUAG